AUUGAACGCUGGCGGCAUGCUUUACACAUGCAAGUCGAACGGUAACAGCACUUCGGUGGCUGACGAGUGGCGAACGGGUGAGUAAUGUAUCGGAACGUACCCAGUAGUGGGGGAUAACUACUCGAAAGAGUGGCUAAUACCGCAUGAGAUCUCUGGAUGAAAGCGGGGGACCGUAAGGCCUCGCGCUACUGGAGCGGCCGAUAUCAGAUUAGGUUGUUGGUGGGGUAAAGGCCUACCAAGCCUGCGAUCUGUAGCUGGUCUGAGAGGACGACCAGCCACACUGGGACUGAGACACGGCCCAGACUCCUACGGGAGGCAGCAGUGGGGAAUUUUGGACAAUGGACGCAAGUCUGAUCCAGCAAUGCCGCGUGCAGGACGAAGGCCUUCGGGUUGUAAACUGCUUUGUACGGAACGAAAAGCUUUCUUCUAAUACAGGAGGGUCAUGACGGUACCGUAAGAAUAAGCACCGGCUAACUACGUGCCAGCAGCCGCGGU
Molecule: ribosomal RNA, 495 nt
Filed under: uncultured bacterium
Lineage: Bacteria
Description: bacterial SSU rRNA
Rfam family: Bacterial small subunit ribosomal RNA
Source: RNAcentral